GUCCACGCCUUAACGAUGGAUGCUCGGUGUCGGCUCGCAAGGGUCGGUGCCUGAGCUAACGCGUUAAGCAUCCCACCUGGGAGUACGAUCGCAAGGUUGAAACUCAAAGGAAUUGACGGGGCCCGCACAAGCAGUGGAGCAUGUGGUUCAAUUCGAUGCAACGCGAAGAACCUUACCUGGGUUUGAAAGGCUCUGUAAACCGGUGAAAGCCGGCUAGUGUAGCAAUACACGCGGAGUACAGGUGCUGCAUGGCUGUCGU
This 259-nucleotide ribosomal RNA is filed under the name uncultured bacterium. RNAcentral describes it as "partial 16S ribosomal RNA". It matches the Rfam family "Bacterial small subunit ribosomal RNA", at positions 793 to 1055 of the family's 1533-position model. The record is from RNAcentral.